UGACGAGUUUGAUCCUGGCUCAGAUUGAACGCUGGCGGUAUGCCUUACACAUGCAAGUCGAACGGUAGAGGGGGCAACCCCUUGAGAGUGGCGAACGGGUGAGUAAUACAUCGGAACGUGCCCAGUCGUGGGGGAUAACGUAGUGAAAAUUACGCUAAUACCGCAUACGAUCUAAGGAUGAAAGCGGGGGAUCGCAAGACCUCGCGCGAUUGGAGCGGCCGAUAUCAGAUUAGGUAGUUGGUGAGGUAAACGGCUCACCAACGCCAACGAUCUGUAGCUGGUCUGA
This 286-nucleotide ribosomal RNA is filed under the name uncultured Burkholderiales bacterium. RNAcentral's name for it is "partial 16S ribosomal RNA". It matches the Rfam family "Bacterial small subunit ribosomal RNA", at positions 1 to 295 of the family's 1533-position model. Lineage: Bacteria; Pseudomonadati; Pseudomonadota; Betaproteobacteria; Burkholderiales. The record is from RNAcentral.